Molecule: non-coding RNA, 1461 nt
Organism: Oryza sativa Japonica Group (Japanese rice)
Lineage: Eukaryota; Viridiplantae; Streptophyta; Magnoliopsida; Poales; Poaceae
Source: RefSeq, a predicted model, not a curated record
GACAAAGAAAAUCCCUAGUCAAUCCAAAGCGGUUUGGAUCAUACGAGCAAUCCAGUCAGUCAAAAAUAAUAAAAAUCAGUGGGCUGCACUUGUGACUUGUGAGCAUCUUCUUCUCCUUUUCCUAUCUCUCCUCUGCCUCUCACCUACCUUUGUUUUUGUCAUUCUCCGUCCUCCCCCAUGCGGCAGCCGCUACUGGUGAAUGCGCGAGCUCUGAGCAACGAGGAGUUCAAGCUCGAGGCGGCGCGGUUGGUCCGAGAGACGGCUAGUAAAUGAAACAACGGUGUUGCCUCUCGGGAUCAAGCUUGGUGGGGGCUGGAGCUUGAUGAGGAUGUCCCGACGGAUGCAAGCGAUGCAGAUCCCGACCGGCAGCGCCACGGCGGUAGGACCAAGUGGUAGCGUCCCAGUGACUGGAUCCAGUUGCAGAGGCCCAAGGCAUUGGCAAAAUUUGCUACAGUACAUCGAAAUAUUACGGUCUUUGCUGUGAGACAUCCGAAGAUCGUGUAUUUGCUCGUGGACAAUGUAAAAAAAGUGAGAGCGACGGCGGCCGGCCCGAGCCGGGACGGCUCGGCCACGACGGGGCGGCGCCGCCGGCGACGCCCUCCGCGUCGGCGCGGUGCGCGGCGGCGGUGGCGGGCUCGACUUCUUCGCGUCGCGCUCCCACGCCGCCCGCCUUGUCGACCUCGUCACCUCGCCGUGGCCCGCCCACGUCGUCGCGUCCAAGCACGCCGCCUCCUCGUCGCGUGCUCUGCGGCGAGCUGCCCGAACAGCACGUCAUCGGCAUCAUCGAGGAAGCCGCGCACCGCGUCACCAUCUUUGCUUCGUCGGCGGCUUUGUGAAGGGAGGCUCCACUCUCGUCAUGCGGCGCGACGAGCGGAGCCGAUUUGGGGCUGCAGGAAGCAGCCAUCGAGUCGAGCGGUCGCGAGGGAACAAAGCUCACUAGCUUGAGCGGCCACAUGCCGCGUUUCUUUCUUCUCCUCUCUUUUCUUCUCCCGCGGGUGCUGCUCCGCCACGCGUGCGUUGUCGAGGUGAAUGACGAGGUUGUGCGCGUCAACGGGCCACGGCCGGAGCCGAGGAGCACGCCACUGUUCCCGACCACGGUGCAGGUCAGGUAAUGGUGCCCGAGGAGGCCCGUGAGGUCCCUCAUCACGCCGGCCACAUUCCUCCCGCGGCAGCGGCGAGCGGUGGGCGGCGAGGAACGACCCAAGCGACGUGCGAAACGAGGCGAGGAGCUUCCCGUCGGGGGGCAGCACAUCCACCGGGACGCGGUGGCCUGCGAAGGUAGCAGGCCAGCAGCACGCACGCAGGAGGAAGAACCGAAGAAGAUGAACAUAGAAAUAGAGAAAGAGAGAUUGACAAGUGGGCCAUGGGCAAACUUGUCUUUAACCAAUGUUUCUUUCUCCAUUACCACCGAAAAUAAUAAAAUAAUGAGGUGGGUGUUCAGCAACUAAUUACCAUAUUUUU